RNAcentral lists this ribosomal RNA (406 nucleotides) under uncultured bacterium. RNAcentral describes it as "partial 16S ribosomal RNA". It matches the Rfam family "Bacterial small subunit ribosomal RNA", at positions 30 to 526 of the family's 1533-position model. The record is from RNAcentral.
AUUGAACGCUGGCAGCAGGCCUAACACAUGCAAGUCGAACGAGUGGCGGACGGGUGAGUAAUGUCUGGGAAACUGCCUGAUGGAGGGGGAUAACUAAUGGAAACGGUAGCUAAUACCGCAUACCAUCGGAUGUGCCCAGAUGGGAUUAGCUAGUAGGGGGGGUAACGGCGCACCUAGGCGACGAUCCCUAGCUGGUCUGGGAGGAUGACCAGCCACACUGGAACUGAGAGCAGGUCCAGACUCCUACGGGAGGCAGCAGUUGGUAAUAUUGCACAAUGGGCGCAAGCCUGAUGCAGCCAUGCCGCGUGUAUGAAGAAGUCCUUCGGGUUGUAAAGUACUUUCAGCGGUGAGGCGUUACCCGCAGAAGAAGCACCGGCUAACUCCGUGCCAGCAGCCGCGGUAAUAC